Molecule: long non-coding RNA, 1080 nt
Filed under: Canis lupus familiaris (dog)
Lineage: Eukaryota; Metazoa; Chordata; Mammalia; Carnivora; Canidae
Description: lncRNA (ENSCAFG00845019191.1)
Source: RNAcentral
AUGUACGUGUGUGCGCGUGUAGGAGCCUGCAUCGCCAGCGCAUUUUACAGCUCCCCGCAGCACCCGGACGGAGCUCUGCGGACUGCGGCUACUCUUCCUUUGCGGGCACUCCCCGCGGCACCUAAUCGUCCAGAACGAGCCCGCUUUGUUUGCGCAAUUGGGAGAAAGGACGCGGCGCCGAAGCCAGGACCCCCGGCUGCGUGCCCGCGGCUGCGAGGCGCUUCCAGGUCCGCACCGGAGCCCCCGCCACACCGCCCGCCCCGGCGCAGCCUCCAGGCCCGGCCCCGGCCGCCCCCCCCCGCAGCCCGCGCGGCCCCGGCCCCGGCCCCGGCCCCGGAGCGCCCGCCCGGCGGCCCCCGCCCCCGCGCCCCCGCGCCCCCGCGCCCCCCCGCCCCGCGCCGCCGCUCACCGACUCCGUGGGCCCCCGACGCUCGGUCCUCCGGCCGCGCCACCUGCCCAGGGCCCCGCGCCCCGCGCCCCGCGCCCCCGCCCCGCGCCCGGCGCCCGCCCCUCCGUCGGCUCCGCUCGCGCACGCGCGCCGCCGCCCGGGGCCUCUCUAGGAAGCUGGGAGGGCCAACGUCUCGGCUUCUCCCAGCGCCCGCGGGAGGCAGGCGGGCCUGCGAGCGCGAGGCUUGGCCCCCGGCGCCCCCCGCCCCGGGGCCCUGCCCCUCCGCGCCGCCGCGCCCCGCCCUCCGGGUCCGCCCCCCGCCCUCCGACGCCAGGGUAGCCCCGGAGCCCAGGAGCCCACACCCCUUCCAACAGGUGGUGGGAAGGCCCGGCUGCCCCCCACCCCGCCCCGGGGAGGAACAGGAUCCCAAACCAGGGGGCAAAGCACGGAGCACGAGCGAGCUUGUGGCUGACCGGUUCUGGCCGAAGGGAGAGCUGGUAAGGGGCCGCGCAUCACUCCAGGAGGACCUCUUCCCUCCCUCGUCACCACCACAGCUGGGGGCACUUGCUGGCCUCCAGCCGCGCACACACAACUGCACCUCCCAUGACCUCCAGUUGUUUACUUUUGAACAAACGUCAACUGCGGGACCCAAGAAAUUCAGAGAAUGUCCCCCACCUCUGGCCCCUAGAUGA